RNAcentral lists this ribosomal RNA (245 nucleotides) under uncultured bacterium. RNAcentral describes it as "partial 16S ribosomal RNA". It matches the Rfam family "Bacterial small subunit ribosomal RNA", at positions 57 to 305 of the family's 1533-position model. The record is from RNAcentral.
GCAAGUCGAGCGGUAACAGAAAGUAGCUUGCUAGAAGAUGACGAGUGGCGGACGGGUGAGUAAUGCUUGGGAAUUUGCCUUUAGGUGGGGGACAACAGUUGGAAACGACUGCUAAUACCGCAUAUUGUCUACGGACUAAAGAGGGCUUCGGCUCUCGCCUUUAGAGAAGCCCAAGUGGGAUUAGGUAGUUGGUGAGGUAAAGGCUCACCAAGCCGACGAUCCCUAGCUGGUCUGAGAGGAUGAUC